Molecule: transfer RNA, 63 nt
Filed under: Camelus bactrianus (Bactrian camel)
Lineage: Eukaryota; Metazoa; Chordata; Mammalia; Artiodactyla; Camelidae
Also listed under: 1 other name
Rfam family: tRNA
About the family: Transfer RNA (tRNA) molecules are approximately 80 nucleotides in length. Their secondary structure includes four short double-helical elements and three loops (D, anti-codon, and T loops).
Source: Rfam by way of RNAcentral
GGGUGAAUAGCUCAGUGGUAAAGCACAUGCAUGAGGUCCUGGGUUCAAUCCCCAGUACCUCUA